RNAcentral lists this ribosomal RNA (439 nucleotides) under uncultured bacterium. Its description in RNAcentral is "partial 16S ribosomal RNA". It matches the Rfam family "Bacterial small subunit ribosomal RNA", at positions 339 to 795 of the family's 1533-position model. The record is from RNAcentral.
CUACGGGAGGCUGCAAUGAGGAAUAUUGCACAAUGGGGGGAACCCUGAUGCAGCAACGCCGCGUGGAGGAUGACGCAUUUCGGUGUGUAAACUCCUUUUAUAUGUCAAGAAAAUGACGGUAGCAUAUGAAUAAGCACCGGCUAACUCCGUGCCAGCAGCCGCGGUAAUACGGAGGGUGCAAGCGUUACUCGGAAUCACUGGGCGUAAAGGACGCGUAGGCGGGUUGGGAAGUCAGGUGUGAAAUCCUACAGCUUAACUGUAGAACUGCACUUGAAACUUCUAAUCUAGAGUAUGGGAGGGGGAGAUGGAAUUAGUGGUGUAGGGGUAAAAUCCGUAGAUAUCACUAGGAAUACCUAAAGCGAAGGCGAUCUCCUGGAACAUUACUGACGCUAAGGCGUGAAAGCGUGGGGAGCAAACAGGAUUAGAUACCCCAGUAGUC